RNAcentral lists this ribosomal RNA (497 nucleotides) under uncultured bacterium. RNAcentral describes it as "partial 16S ribosomal RNA". It matches the Rfam family "Bacterial small subunit ribosomal RNA", at positions 28 to 507 of the family's 1533-position model. The record is from RNAcentral.
GAUGAACGCUGGCGGCGUGCCUAAUACAUGCAAGUCGAGCGAACGGACGAGAAGCUUGCUUCUCUGAUGUUAGCGGCGGACGGGUGAGUAACACGUGGAUAACCUACCUAUAAGACUGGGAUAACUUCGGGAAACCGGAGCUAAUACCGGAUAAUAUUUUGAACCGCAUGGUUCAAAAGUAAAAGACGGUCUUGCUGUCACUUAUAGAUGGAUCCGCGCUGCAUUAGCUAGUUGGUAAGGUAACGGCUUACCAAGGCAACGAUGCAUAGCCGACCUGAGAGGGUGAUCGGCCACACUGGAACUGAGACACGGUCCAGACUCCUACGGGAGGCAGCAGUAGGGAAUCUCCCGCAAUGGGCGAAAGCCUGACGGAGCAACGCCGCGUGAGUGAUGAAGGUCUUCGGAUCGUAAAACUCUGUUAUUAGGGAAGAACAUAUGUGUAAGUAACUGUGCAUAUCUUGACGGUACCUAAUCAGAAAGCCACGGCUAACUACGUG